AGGGUUUGAUCAUGGCUCAGAACGUACGCUGGCGGCACGCCUAACACAUGCAAGUCGAACGAAGUAGCAAUACUUAGUGGCAGACGGGUGAGUAACAUGUGGGUAUCUGCCCUUUGGCCUGGAAUAACACGAGGAAACUUGUGCUAAUACUGGAUAAGUCUUUACGGAGAAAGCUUUAUGCACCAUUGGAUGAGCCCGCACUUGAUUAGUUUGUUGGUGGGGUAAUGGCCUACCAAGACUGUGAUCAAUAGCUGAUUUGAGAGGAUGAUCAGCCACAUUGGGACUGAGACACGGCCCAAACUCCUACGGGAGGCAGCAGUGGGGAAUCUUGCACAAUGGAGGAAACUCUGAUGCAGCGAUGCCGCGUGAGUGAAGAAGGCCCUUGGGUUGUAAAGCUCUUUCGUCGGGGAAGAAAAUGACUGUACCCGAAUAAGAAGGUCCGGCUAACUUCGUGCCAGCAGCCGCGGUAAUACGAAGGGACCUAGCGUAGUUCGGAAUUACUGGGCUUAAAGAGUUCGUAGGUGGUUGAAAAAGUUAGUGGUGAAAUCCCAGAGCUUAACUCUGGAACUGCCAUUAAAACUUUUCAGCUAGAGUAUGAUAGAGGAAAGCAGAAUUUCUAGUGUAGAGGUGAAAUUCGUAGAUAUUAGAAAGAAUACCAAUUGCGAAGGCAGCUUUCUGGAUCAUUACUGACACUGAGGAACGAAAGCAUGGGUAGCGAAGAGGAUUAGAUACCCUCGUAGUCCAUGCCGUAAACGAUGUGUGUUAGACGUUGGAAAUUUAUUUUCAGUGUCGCAGCGAAAGCGAUAAACACACCGCCUGGGGAGUACGACCGCAAGGUUAAAACUCAAAUGAAUUGACGGGGACCCGCACAAGUAGUGGAGCAUGUGGUUUAAUUCGAAGAUACGCGCAGAACCUUACCAACACUUGACAUGUUCGUCGCGACUCUAAGAGAUUAGAGUUUUCGGUUCGGCCGGACGAAACACAGGUGCUGCAUGGCUGUCGUCAGCUCGUGUCGUGAGAUGUUGGGUUAAGUCCCGCAACGAGCGCAACCCUCACUUUUAGUUGCCAUCAUUAAGUUGGGCACUCUGAAAGAACUGCCAGUGAUAAGCUGGAGGAAGGUGGGGAUGACGUCAAGUCCUCAUGGCCCUUACGUGUUGGGCUACACACGUGCUACAAUGGUAUCUACAACAGGAAGCAAGACUGCGAGGUCAAGCAAAUCCUUAAAAGAUACCUCAGUUCGGAUUGCACUCUGCAACUCGAGUGCAUGAAGCUGGAAUUACUAGUAAUCGUGGAUCAGCGUGCCACGGUGAAUGCGUUCCCGGGUCUUGUACACACCGCCCGUCACACCAUGGGAGUUGGUUCUACCUUAAGGCAAGGUUUCAAACCCUUGACCACGGUAUAGUCAGCGACUGGGGUGAAGUCGUAACAAGGUAGCCGUA
Molecule: ribosomal RNA, 1439 nt
Filed under: uncultured bacterium
Lineage: Bacteria
Description: bacterial SSU rRNA
Rfam family: Bacterial small subunit ribosomal RNA
Source: RNAcentral